AACAGACACUGGUUGAACUCCCACUAUGUGCUAAACACAGGUGUGGAGACAUGUGAAUAAGACAUGACCAUCACUCUCAAGACAGUUUCAACUAAAUGAAGAUAUUGGACAACUCAUGGAAUCAUGAAGAAGUGUUGAGGAAGAAAGCCAGUACGUUCAGUUUUGAACACGGAGAAUUGAAUGUGCCCGAAGGACAACCAAGAGGAAAUUCUGGGAGGUUCUGAAGCCUUCCAUGGUCACAUGGACCCUGUGCUUCUCUGUCAGCAGUGCAGGAGGGUGCGUCCUCCAGAGGCCCCAGACAGGCGUUAACAAGGAAUCUGUGAAAAUGAAAACAGCGAUGAUCACAUUCUACAAUUAUUUGUUCAACUCCUCCUAUUUGCUCAGCAAUGUGCUAAUCUUGCUAUGGCCCAGCUGUGAAAGAGCCAUAAGAAAAAACUGAGAUGGACAGUCCUUACAAGGGGAAAGCAGUAUCAGUUUCUCAUGUGGCACCACAAUUCCAUUUACAAAGCUUUCCCAAACACUGACACUCCAUCCCUGACUCUAGAAGACAGAUGCCUUUGCUGCUGGUCAGUCGGCAUUGUUCCCACUUUUCACAUGAGGUGUGCUGUUGUCUGUGACUU
Nannospalax galili (Upper Galilee mountains blind mole rat) is the source of this 620-nucleotide long non-coding RNA. RefSeq lists it as uncharacterized. The transcript is spliced from 3 exons. NCBI's taxonomy places the organism in Eukaryota, Metazoa, Chordata, Mammalia, Rodentia, Spalacidae. The record is from RefSeq and is a predicted model, not a curated record.